Aquila chrysaetos chrysaetos is the source of this 144-nucleotide long non-coding RNA. RefSeq lists it as uncharacterized. The transcript has 3 exons. Lineage: Eukaryota; Metazoa; Chordata; Aves; Accipitriformes; Accipitridae. The record is from RefSeq and is a predicted model, not a curated record.
UAAUAUACUUGCUAUAACAUAAUAUAUACUUGCUAUCACUUACUUAUUAUAGACUUGUCAGGUUAGUACACACGCGUGCAUAAAGACGCUAAGAGAAAUACAUAUAGAGAAUAAGAGAGAAAAGGAGAGAGAGAAAGAGGUAUA